AGUGAACGCUGGCGGUAUGCCUAACACAUGCAAGUCGAACGGCAGCACAGUUAGAGCUUGCUCUUACGGGUGGCGAGUGGCGGACGGGUGAGGAAUACAUCGUAAUCUACUUUUUCGUGGGGGACAACGUAGGUAAACUUACGCUAAUACCGCAUACGACCUACGGUUGAAAUCAGGAGAUCUUCUGAGCUUGGGCGAUUGAAUGAGCCGAUGUCGGAUUAGCUAGUUGGCGGGGUAAAGGCCCACCAAGGCGACGAUCCGUAGCUGGUCUGAGAGGAUGAUCACCGACCCUGGAACUGGGACACGGACCAGGCUACUACGGGAGGCAGCAGUGGGGAAUAUUGGACAAAGGGCGGAAGCCUGAUCCAGCCAUAGCGCGUGGGUGAAGAAGACCUUCGGGUUGUAAAGACGUUUUGUGGGGAGAGAAAAGCAGCAGGUUAAUACCACGCUGUUGUGACGGUACCCAAAGAAUAAGCACCGGCUAACUACGUG
This 492-nucleotide ribosomal RNA is filed under the name uncultured bacterium. Its description in RNAcentral is "partial 16S ribosomal RNA". It matches the Rfam family "Bacterial small subunit ribosomal RNA", at positions 29 to 507 of the family's 1533-position model. The record is from RNAcentral.